This 345-nucleotide long non-coding RNA is filed under the name Pan troglodytes (chimpanzee). RNAcentral describes it as "long non-coding RNA NONPTRT003202". The record is from RNAcentral. Lineage: Eukaryota; Metazoa; Chordata; Mammalia; Primates; Hominidae.
AUAGCCCAAGGCAUACCCAUCUGUAUCAUCAUAGAUAACGUGUCCAGGAGAGACAGCACAAGGGGCUCCAUCUUCAUCACACAACUCAUCACAUGCUUCCAGAGAUAUUCCUGGCGCUGCCACCUAGAGGAAGUAUUUUGGAAGGUUCAGCAAGCAUUUGAAAGUCCGGAGGCAACAGUCCAAAUGCCCACCAUAGAACGAGUGUCCAUGACAAGAUAUUUCUACCUCUUUCCUGGCAACUGAAAAUGGUUAAGCAUUGAGAGUUGUUGGUGGUGUAUGAAAUAAAUGAAAGUGUGAUAUUGGAGGAAACCACAAGCAGCCCAGCCCUCCUUUAUCAACUUCAAG